GAUUUAUUUGAUAAUAUUACGUUAACGUUGUAAAGUUAUGUUUUUAUUAUUAAAUAGUAAUGAAAUGUUUAUCGGUUUUUAUGAUGGCUAGUUUAUUAAUGAAGGUAUUUUAGUACCUUAAUAUUGAUUUAUUGUAAUAUAAUUAAUAUUAUUUAUUUUAUAAGGGAUAAGCUUUAUAUAAUGUAGUAGAAUAAUAAUAAAUUUAUUUUUAGUUGUAAGUAGAAUUAAAAUUGUUUAUCUUAUGAAGUAUUAUAAAAAUUUAUUUGAGUUGAUUCAGAUUUUUAAAUUAAUAAAUAUUUGUUAAUUUUUAAUAAUUAAUUAUAAUGUUAGUAUGAGUAUUAUUUAAAUUAUUUAUUUGGGGCUAUAAAAGUGUAUUAAUGAUAAUAUAUUUAAUUAAAUAAAAUAAGGAAAAGGAAUUCGGCAAAAAUAAAUCUCGCCUGUUUAUCAAAAACAUGUCUCUUUGUACAACUAAAAAUGGAGAG
This 482-nucleotide ribosomal RNA is filed under the name Sepia officinalis (common cuttlefish). RNAcentral's name for it is "partial 16S ribosomal RNA". The record is from RNAcentral. Lineage: Eukaryota; Metazoa; Mollusca; Cephalopoda; Sepiida; Sepiidae.